RNAcentral lists this ribosomal RNA (283 nucleotides) under Phocaeicola coprocola DSM 17136. RNAcentral's name for it is "partial 16S ribosomal RNA". It matches the Rfam family "Bacterial small subunit ribosomal RNA", at positions 494 to 776 of the family's 1533-position model. Lineage: Bacteria; Pseudomonadati; Bacteroidota; Bacteroidia; Bacteroidales; Bacteroidaceae. The record is from RNAcentral.
UCUUUCCUUGUGUGCCAGCCGCCGCGGUAAUACGGAGUAUGCGAGCGUUAUCCGGAUUUAUUGGGUUUAAAGGGAGCGCAGACGGGAGAUUAAGUCAGUUGUGAAAGUUUGCGGCUCAACCGUAAAAUUGCAGUUGAUACUGGUUUCCUUGAGUGCAGUUGAGGCAGGCGGAAUUCGUGGUGUAGCGGUGAAAUGCUUAGAUAUCACGAAGAACCCCGAUUGCGAAGGCAGCUUGCUAAACUGUAACUGACGUUCAUGCUCGAAAGUGUGGGUAUCAAACAGG